Molecule: transfer RNA, 66 nt
Filed under: Diachasmimorpha longicaudata
Lineage: Eukaryota; Metazoa; Arthropoda; Insecta; Hymenoptera; Braconidae
Description: tRNA-Arg
Source: RNAcentral
AAUUAAGAAAUAAAUAUUUAUAUUCAAUUACGGUUUGAAUUUUUGAUUUUAAUUAAUCCUUAAUUG